RNAcentral lists this ribosomal RNA (484 nucleotides) under uncultured bacterium. RNAcentral describes it as "partial 16S ribosomal RNA". It matches the Rfam family "Bacterial small subunit ribosomal RNA", at positions 28 to 523 of the family's 1533-position model. The record is from RNAcentral.
GACGAACGCUGGCGGCGUGCUUAACACAUGCAAGUCGAACGAUGAAGCCGGAGCUUGCUCUGGUGAAUUAGUGGCGAACGGGUGAGUAACACGUGAGUAACCUGCCCUUGACUCUGGGAUAACUGCUAGAAAUGGUAGCUAAUACCGGAUACGACCCUCGGAGGCAUCUCCAGGGGGUGGAAAGAAUUUCGGUCAAGGAUGGACUCGCGGCCUAUCAGCUAGUUGGUGAGGUAAUGGCUCACCAGGGCGACGACGGGUAGCCGGCUUGAGAGGGUGACCGGCCACACUGGGACUGAGACACGGCCCAGACUCCUACGGGAGGCAGCAGUGGGGAAUAUUGCACAAUGGGCGCAAGCCUGAUGCAGCAACGCCGCGUGAGGGAUGACGGCCUUCGGGUUGUAAACCUCUUUUAGUAGGGAAGAAGCGAAAGUGACGGUACCUGCAGAAAAAGCACCGGCUAACUACGUGCCAGCCGCCGCCGUAA